UGAAUUGGAAAGACGGUGUUUGCAAGUAGA
RNAcentral lists this non-coding RNA (30 nucleotides) under Mus musculus (house mouse). Lineage: Eukaryota; Metazoa; Chordata; Mammalia; Rodentia; Muridae. The record is from RNAcentral.